Molecule: non-coding RNA, 110 nt
Organism: Podarcis lilfordi (Lilford's wall lizard)
Lineage: Eukaryota; Metazoa; Chordata; Lepidosauria; Squamata; Lacertidae
Source: the annotation of a GenBank genome assembly
AAGAAUGGACCUCCAGAAUGAAUUAAGUUCUUAACCUGAGGUACCACUGUACUGGUUUUCUCUACUGAAUACAGUGGUACCUCGGGUUAAGUACUUAAUUCGUUCCGAAG